CCUACGGGAGGCAGCAGUGAGGAAUAUUGGUCAAUGGACGAGAGUCUGAACCAGCCAAGUAGCGUGAAGGAUGACUGCCCUAUGGGUUGUAAACUUCUUUUAUAUGGGAAUAAAAUGUUGCACGUGUGGGAUUUUGUAUGUACCAUAUGAAUAAGGAUCGGCUAACUCCGUGCCAGCAGCCGCGGUAAUACGGAGGAUCCGAGCGUUAUCCGGAUUUAUUGGGUUUAAAGGGAGCGUAGGUGGAUUGUUAAGUCAGUUGUGAAAGUUUGCGGCUCAACCGUAAAAUUGCAGUUGAAACUGGCAGUCUUGAGUACAGUAGAGGUGGGCGGAAUUCGUGGUGUAGCGGUGAAAUGCUUAGAUAUCACGAAGAACGCCGAUUGCGAAGGCAGUUCACUGGACUGCAACUGACACUGAGGCUCGAAAGUGUGGGUAUCAAACAGGAUUAGAUACCCCUGUAGUC
RNAcentral lists this ribosomal RNA (460 nucleotides) under uncultured bacterium. RNAcentral's name for it is "partial 16S ribosomal RNA". It matches the Rfam family "Bacterial small subunit ribosomal RNA", at positions 338 to 795 of the family's 1533-position model. The record is from RNAcentral.